RNAcentral lists this ribosomal RNA (465 nucleotides) under Vreelandella stevensii. Its description in RNAcentral is "partial 16S ribosomal RNA". It matches the Rfam family "Bacterial small subunit ribosomal RNA", at positions 338 to 795 of the family's 1533-position model. Lineage: Bacteria; Pseudomonadati; Pseudomonadota; Gammaproteobacteria; Oceanospirillales; Halomonadaceae. The record is from RNAcentral.
CCUACGGGUGGCUGCAGUGGGGAAUAUUGGACAAUGGGCGAAAGCCUGAUCCAGCCAUGCCGCGUGUGUGAAGAAGGCCUUCGGGUUGUAAAGCACUUUCAGUGGGGAAGAAAGCCUUGGGGCUAAUACCCUCGAGGAAGGACAUCACCCACAGAAGAAGCACCGGCUAACUCCGUGCCAGCAGCCGCGGUAAUACGGAGGGUGCGAGCGUUAAUCGGAAUUACUGGGCGUAAAGCGCGCGUAGGCGGUCUGAUAAGCCGGUUGUGAAAGCCCCGGGCUCAACCUGGGAACGGCAUCCGGAACUGUCAGGCUAGAGUGCAGGAGAGGAAGGAAGAAUUCCCGGUGUAGCGGUGAAAUGCGUAGAGAUCGGGAGGAAUACCAGUGGCGAAGGCGGCCUUCUGGACUGACACUGACGCUGAGGUGCGAAAGCGUGGGUAGCAAACAGGAUUAGAUACCCUAGUAGUC